RNAcentral lists this ribosomal RNA (322 nucleotides) under uncultured eukaryote. RNAcentral describes it as "partial 18S ribosomal RNA". It matches the Rfam family "Eukaryotic small subunit ribosomal RNA", at positions 1470 to 1796 of the family's 1831-position model. The record is from RNAcentral.
CCCUUAGAUGUUCUGGGCCGCACGCGUGCUACACUGAGUGGAUCAGCGGGUCAGGUUGCGCGAAAGUGUUUCCUAAUCUUUAAAUCCGCGCGUGAUGGGGAUUGACGGUUGCAAUUUUCCGUCAUGAACGAGGAAUACCUUGUAAGCGCGGGUCAUCAUCCCGCGCUGAAUACGUCCCUGCCCUUUGUACACACCGCCCGUCGCUCCUACCGAUUGAGUGGUCCGGUGAGGCUUUGGGAUCUGAGCGGAAAGAGCGUUUCGCUGUUUCUGCCCGGAAAACUCAGUCGAACCUUAUCAUUUAGAGGAAGGAGAAGUCGUAACA